This 3831-nucleotide ribosomal RNA is filed under the name Triticum aestivum (bread wheat). RNAcentral describes it as "partial small subunit ribosomal RNA". Lineage: Eukaryota; Viridiplantae; Streptophyta; Magnoliopsida; Poales; Poaceae. The record is from RNAcentral.
AUGAUGGCGGAGGAACCGGCGAUGGAUUUCGACGACGGGGGCUUCGGCGGCGCCGAGGACAACCUCUCCAUGCCCCUCGGCGACUUCAUGGCCUUCCUCGAGAGCGAGCCCGCCGACGACGGGGAGGACCCGCCGCAGCCCGAGGCCAAUCAAGGUUCCUUAGAGGCGCCAGUGGACACGACAGGUUUUGCAAAUGGAUUUGAAAACCAUGAAGAACUUUUGGAGGAUGAAAUGCAGACCAAUCAAGAUUCCUUAGAGGUGGCAGUGGACAUGACAGGUUAUGCACAUGGAUUUGGAAACCAUGAAGAACUUUUGGAGGAUGAAGGUUUUUGGUCACACAUAGACCCUUCGCAAUACCAGAUGGAAGCAAUGGUGGAACAAGGAGAUGGAACCUUUGACGACUCCGAUGCUAAGCCUAAUGGUUUGCUUGGCAGUGAUUUAUCUGGAAACUGUAGAACUACCGAUCAUAACAACCAACCUUUACCAAGGGACACAUUAAACCAUAUAAAUGCUGCUGAAGAAGCAAAUGCAUCUCCAUACGAAGUUCUAUCAAAUUGUUCAUAUGUUGGUGAGCAGUACUUUGGCAAAGCACAGGUCAAAGCAGAGAACCACUUAGAGGGCAUGGGGCCACCAACGAAUACUUAUUUGCCACAUAAUCAAUUCCCAGAGCAAUCUGGUUUGAGUGAAGUUAAAAGCGAGGAUACAGGAGCAAUAUUUGAUAACACUGGUCAGGAGGGUAAUCAAUUCAUACCAAUGAACACAUUCUCUUUUGACCAUAAUGCUGCUAUCCCUGAUAUUUCUUACACUGAGCUGAACAUUGGUGAGGCGACUGGAAGCAUGAACAAUGGCAAUGGCAGUUGCCUAACUGUACAGGGAGAUUAUCUGCAGGGGGAGUUUGGAGAAUGUCCCAAAGCAGAGUAUGGUUCUCUUGAUAUGGCUGGUGAAAUGCCAAUGCAUGAUUUGCCGCAUAACAAUCAGUCAUAUGAGAUGGAACAGAUUCCACAGAAUAUAUGUGAAAGCAGUUCGAUGCAGACAGGCUCUCCGGAUCAAUAUUGUGAUGAUACAUCUUUAUCAGGUUACUACAUGUCGUCCCCAGAGUCAUUAUCCUGUGAGCAGAUCCAGUCUGAAUAUAUUGGUUUCAAGAGUGAGUCUAGCACUGACUCUUCUCCAAUACCCUCAAGCAGAAACUCUACUACAGAGGAUGCUGAUAAAUACUUAGGAGGCUCAACAAAACAGUUGCUGAACUCUAGUUUUGUUCCUAUCGGCCACCAACACCCGUAUAGGAGCCUGACAGAUCAAAUGCCUCCAGCUUUUCAUGAACAAUAUGAUAUUCACAGAAGUGGCAACUCCUUUGCUCGGGGGAAUUUAUCAAGAAGUUGCUUUGGUGCAAAUGUGAAUGGUGGUUCUGAUUUACUUAACCUUAGUAGCCAUCGUGCUCCUGGUCACAUAUUGCCACCCCAGGGAAUCCAAGGAAAACUUAAUAACUUUCAACAAUCUUUGUCUGCAAAUCCUUUUGUUCCUCGAUUUGGCGGGAUGGCAUAUAAGUCGCAUGAUGAAAGGGCGACUCUACGACUUGCAUUGCAGGAUAUAUCCCAGCCAAAGUCCGAGGCUAAUCCACCUGAUGGGCUUUUAUCAGUUCCUUUAUUGAGGCAUCAGAAAAUUGCUCUGUCAUGGAUGGUGCAAAAGGAGAAAAAUGGUUCACAUUGCUCUGGUGGAAUUCUCGCAGAUGAUCAGGGCUUGGGUAAAACCAUAUCAACUAUUUCACUGAUAUUGACGGAAAGAUCACCAGUACCAAGGUCAACUGCCAUUAAGCCAGAGCUGUGUGAAGCUGUAUCUCUUGACGAUGACGAAGAUGACCCCACUGAUCUUUGUUUGAAAAGGAGGUCACAGACAUGUAGCUCUGAAGUGACAACAAGCACUACAGUUAAGACAGAGAAUCAUAUUGUAGAGAUUAAGGCCAGGCCAGCUGCUGGGACUCUGGUUGUUUGCCCGACAAGUGUUCUACGGCAGUGGGCGGAAGAACUGAGGAACAAAGUUACCAGUAAAGCUAAUUUGUCCUUUCUAAUAUAUCAUGGUAGCAACCGUACGAAGGAUCCUAACGAGCUCACUAAAUAUGAUGUUGUGCUAACUACGUAUUCUAUAGUAAGUAUGGAGGUACCAAAGCAAUCAAGUCCUGAUAGUGACGAUGAAGAGAAAGGGAAGGCAGACAGAUAUGGUGCUCCUGUUUCAGGCAGCAAAAAGAGAAAGGCUUCCUCUUCUAAGAAAACUAAAAAGGCCACAACAGAGAAGAGUAACUUACCAGAGAAACCUCUUGCGAGAGUAGCAUGGUUCAGGGUUAUUCUUGAUGAAGCACAAAGUAUUAAAAAUUACCGAACCAAUGUUGCCGGGUCUUGCUGGAAUUUGCGAGCCAAAAGAAGGUGGUGCUUGUCAGGGACACCAAUACAGAAUGCUGUUGAAGAUCUCUUUAGCUAUUUUAAAUUUCUCCGAUAUGAACCAUAUUGUGAAUACAAGCAUUUUUGCACCAUGAUAAAAAUGCCAAUCAGCAGGAACCCAAUUAAUGGUUACAAGAAGCUGCAAGUUGUUUUGAAGACAGUAAUGCUACGUCGGACUAAAGCGACAAUGCUGGAUGGAAAACCAAUCAUUUCCCUACCGCCCAAGACUAUAACUCUCAAGGCUGUGAACUUCACGAGUGAGGAGCGUGCAUUUUAUAACACCCUAGAAGCUGAAUCGCGAGCACAAUUUAAGGUCUAUGCAGCUGCUGGUACUGUUAGGCAAAACUACGUGAAUAUCCUGCUGAUGCUUUUACGGCUCAGACAGGCAUGCGAUCACCCUCACCUAGUUAAAGGUCACGAGUCUAGCUGGACCUCUUCAUUGGAGAGUGCGAAUAAACUUCCAAUGGAACGAAAACAAGAAUUGCUGGUUUGUUUGCAAUCUUGUUCAGCUAUAUGUGCUCUCUGCAACGAUGCACCAGAAGACGCUGUUGUUACUGCAUGCGGGCAUGUUUUUUGCAACCAGUGCAUAUUGGAGCAACUUACUGGCGAUGACAGCAUAUGUCCAGUCUCUAAUUGCAGAGUCCGACUUAAUGCAACUUCAUUAUUCUCUCGAGGCACCCUUGAAUUCUCCUUGUGCAAAUCAACAAGUGAAUUCCAGUCUAAUGAUUCCUGUACAGAGAUGGUACAUACUGAAAAUCAAACUGGAAUUGAUUCAUCUUAUGCAUCUUCUAAAGUGAGGGCUGCCCUAGAUAUUAUUCUCUCAUUACCUAAAGUUGACCCCACCCAAAGUAGUGACAGCAAAAAAACAAUUGGGCUUGCCUCUGAAAAUACCAAUGGGAUGAGUUCAGAAUAUGCUGACACCAAGACGAUAGAGAAGGCCAUUGUUUUCUCUCAAUGGACUAGAAUGCUGGAUUUGCUAGAGGUUCAUUUGAAAGCUUCUCAUGUGACCUACCGGAGGCUUGAUGGAACAAUGUCUGUUGCUGCUCGGGAAAAAGCCGUGAACGACUUCAAAACAGUUCCAGAGGUUUCUGUUAUGAUCAUGUCUCUCAAAGCUGCGAGUCUUGGUCUAAAUAUGGUGGCUGCCUGCCAUGUGCUUAUGCUCGAUCUGUGGUGGAAUCCUACCACCGAGGACCAAGCUGUUGAUAGAGCACACCGUAUUGGCCAAACACGACCAGUCACAGUAUCUAGGUUAACUGUCAAAGAUACUGUUGAAGAUCGUAUUCUGGCGCUCCAGGAGAAAAAGCGGGAGAUGGUUGCUUCUGCUUUUGGGGAAGAUAAAUCUGGUGGCGGUCAGACUCGACUGACAGUGGACGACUUGAAUUAUUUGUUUAUGGUUUAG